AUCUUUUUAAUAUAAGCAAGUAUAGGUGACUUCCAAUCACCCAGUCUUGGUUAAAGCCCAAGGAAAGAUA
RNAcentral lists this transfer RNA (70 nucleotides) under Betta simplex. Its description in RNAcentral is "tRNA-Gly". Lineage: Eukaryota; Metazoa; Chordata; Actinopteri; Anabantiformes; Osphronemidae. The record is from RNAcentral.